RNAcentral lists this unclassified non-coding RNA (520 nucleotides) under uncultured Glomus. Its description in RNAcentral is "SSU rRNA". It matches the Rfam family "Eukaryotic small subunit ribosomal RNA", at positions 569 to 1091 of the family's 1831-position model. The record is from RNAcentral. Lineage: Eukaryota; Fungi; Glomeromycota; Glomeromycetes; Glomerales; Glomeraceae.
AGCAGCCGCGGUAAUUCCAGCUCCAAUAGCGUAUAUUAAAGUUGUUGCAGUUAAAAAGCUCGUAGUUGAAUUUCGGGAUCAGUUGAUCGGUCGUGCCUCGGUACGUACUGGUCAAAUUGAUUCCUACCUUCUGACGAACCACGAUGUCAUUAAUUUGGUGUCGCGGGAAAUCAGGACUGUUACUUUGAAAAAAUUAGAGUGUUUAAAGCAGGCUCGCGCUUGAAUACAUUAGCAUGGAAUAAUGAAAUAGGACGUUUGAUUCUAUUUUGUUGGUUUCUAGGAUCGACGUAAUGAUUAAUAGGGAUAGUUGGGGGCAUUAGUAUUCAAUUGUCAGAGGUGAAAUUCUUGGAUUUAUUGAAGACUAACUACUGCGAAAGCAUUUGCCAAGGAUGUUUUCAUUAAUCAAGAACGAAAGUUAGGGGAUCGAAGACGAUCAGAUACCGUCGUAGUCUUAACCAUAAACUAUGCCGACUAGGGAUCGGAUGAUGUUAAUUUUUUAAUGACUCACUCGGCGCCUUAA